Erpetoichthys calabaricus (reedfish) is the source of this 749-nucleotide long non-coding RNA. RefSeq lists it as uncharacterized. The record is from RefSeq and is a predicted model, not a curated record. Lineage: Eukaryota; Metazoa; Chordata; Cladistia; Polypteriformes; Polypteridae. The transcript is spliced from 3 exons.
UUUGCUUUUUAUUUCAAGAGUCCAGCAUAAAAUAAGUGCUGAAGUGUUCUUUUACUGUUUGUGCACCAAAGAUCUGGAUUGCCAGAGAUACACUAGGCUAAUACAGUGGAACAACAUUAAAAAAUCUCUUAAAAACUCAUAUUUUUUUUGGAUUUUUCAUAGUUGCUUUUUAGCUCUGCUUCAAAUAGAUUAUAUAUGUACUUCAAUGUCUUUUACUUUUUAGAUUUGCAAUUAUUACUAAACUCUACAAUACUCUGUUUUCAUUUCCAGGUUUUCUGCAGUAGUGCUUUGCACCACUGCCAUCUGAUCCAGAUACUCUGCAGCUGUCUGUGAUGUUGGAAUGGUUGUGAAUACUCGGACAAAACAUAAAUAGAUAAUGUGCAGUGGUGCCCUCCAUUAUGCUGGCUGGUAGUGCCUGUGCCGUUAUGAAUGCUUUCCAGGUAAACAAUCAUUGGCUGCCAGAUUUCAAAAUGUUGCCUCUGCAGCUUAAGACUGAAAGUUGCAGACCCGUCUCACUGAAUCACUGGAGAUGUCCAACUACACGACUGCCCUUGAAUUUGCUAAGUUUAAGUAAAUGAAGGCUAUGACUGAAACUAAUUGUAAAAGUAAUAUAGUGUGAUGGGGAUAUCUACUGCAUCAAAUCUUUAGCAAUGUUGUAUCAUACUAUCUAGAUAUUAGUAGAUAACUUUGUUACAUUUAAGUACUGCAGAAUGUCUGGGAGGAUGGGCUGUCUUUGGUCUUAUUUUAUC